UACAGAGGGUGCGAGCGUUAAUCGGAAUUACUGGGCGUAAAGCGCACGUAGGUGGCGACGUAAGUCGGGUGUGAAAGCCCCGGGCUCAACCUGGGAAUUGCAUUCGAGACUGCAUUGCUGGAGUACGGAAGAGGAAGGCGGAAUUCCCGGUGUAGCGGUGAAAUGCGUAGAUAUCAGGAGGAACACCGAUGGCGAAGGCAGGUCUCUGGGCUGUAACUGACGCUGAGGAGCGAAAGCAUGGGGAGCGAACAGG
RNAcentral lists this ribosomal RNA (253 nucleotides) under uncultured bacterium. RNAcentral's name for it is "partial 16S ribosomal RNA". It matches the Rfam family "Bacterial small subunit ribosomal RNA", at positions 524 to 776 of the family's 1533-position model. The record is from RNAcentral.